CAUUAGUAUUACCGUGGUAAUACAUAUAAAUGCAAAACUUAAGCAUCAUAAUUUGCAGGAAUUUGUAAGUAGUUAGGAUAAAGUUUUGAGGACUAAAUUGAAAAUUAUCCGAAAGGGAUAAGAUUCCCCAAUUUCUCCUCACGUGCUGUAGGGAUUUGUCGUUAGCGCCGCAUUAAGAAGAACGCCAUGACGUGCCGGACACCGACGCCGAGCCGAAGGCCAUGGAAGUCGCACCGCUAGAGGGCAUCGCGGCCGCGGGCGCGUGCGGUAGGGCAUCCAAGGGCAACCAUGACGGAGGGCGUUGCUAUGCCGCGCAUCACACAUGGAAGAGCGCUUCACCGGGUGGUGCCAGAUCUGAGGACGACGACCUGGGGCGCUGCGUCUGGAGGCAGCGCCGGCUGCAUUGGGCGACAAAGUUUGGAUUGCGUUGGUUGUGCAUGAAUCAUCAUGUCUAGCAUUGCCAAACGGCCGGUAGCAGCGCUACAAGCGCGCAGGAGGGGGGGGGGGCGAAGCCUCGCAUGGUCGGAGUCAUUGCGCGUGCUGGAAGCCACCCGAUCGAUGGGAAGCCGUCGUCUUCUCGAUGUGGCAUCGCCGUUCCGCAAGAAGAUGCCGCCGAAUCUGUGAGCCGCCGCUGCCGUCGGCAGUUAUGUGACGGGUUGAAGCGCUUAAGAGCGCCGCUUCUAUGCGCCUGCAACGCUCGCUAUUGGUGUGCCAUCGGAGCGGUGUCGAGGCCGGGCGUGUUCGCGUCCUUCGCGCCGGAAAGCUCCGCCACCAGGGUCGUGUAUUAGGCCGAUGGCCAAGGACUUUGGUGCCAUUGAUUUCUUUCUUUUUUUUUGUUGUCGUUCUUGUUCUUCUUGGCCUAAUUGCUCUUUGGAAGAGGCGUGCGUGAUAACGUGUUUAAUAAAACGAGAUUGAAUGACGGCGAA
This is a long non-coding RNA of Hordeum vulgare subsp. vulgare (domesticated barley), 926 nucleotides long. RefSeq lists it as uncharacterized. NCBI's taxonomy places the organism in Eukaryota, Viridiplantae, Streptophyta, Magnoliopsida, Poales, Poaceae. The transcript has 2 exons. The record is from RefSeq and is a predicted model, not a curated record.